AGGACGAACGCUGGCGGCGUGCUUAACACAUGCAAGUCGAGCGGAAAGGCCUUUCGGGGUACUCGAGCGGCGAACGGGUGAGUAACACGUGAGUAAUCUGCCCAUCGCUUCAGGAUAGCCAUCGGAAACGGUGAUUAAUACUGGAUAUGACAUUCCUUCGCAUGUUGGGGUGUGGAAAGUUUUUUCGGCGGUGGAUGUGCUCGCGGCCUAUCAGCUUGUUGGUGGGGUAAUGGCCUACCAAGGCUUUGACGGGUAGCCGGCCUGAGAGGGUGACCGGCCACACUGGGACUGAGACACGGCCCAGACUCCUACGGGAGGCAGCAGUGGGGAAUAGUUGGACAAUGGGCGAAAGCCUGAUCCAGCCAUGCCGCGUGUGUGAAGAAGGUCUUCGGAUUG
This 396-nucleotide ribosomal RNA is filed under the name uncultured soil bacterium. Its description in RNAcentral is "bacterial SSU rRNA". It matches the Rfam family "Bacterial small subunit ribosomal RNA", at positions 26 to 425 of the family's 1533-position model. The record is from RNAcentral.